Molecule: long non-coding RNA, 1779 nt
Organism: Oncorhynchus tshawytscha (Chinook salmon)
Lineage: Eukaryota; Metazoa; Chordata; Actinopteri; Salmoniformes; Salmonidae
Source: Ensembl
CUUAUGUAAUACAUGUAUCACUAGCCACUUUAACUACGCCACUUGGUUUACAUACUCAUCUCAUAUGUAUAUACUGUACUCGAUAUCAUCUACUGUAUCUUGCCUAUGCUGCUCUGUACCAUCACUCAUUCAUAUAUCCUUAUGUACAUAUUCUUUAUCCCCUUACACUGUGUAUGAGACAGUUUUUUUGGAAUUGUUAGUUAGAUUACUUGUUGGUUAUUACUGCAUUGUCGGAACUAGAAGCACAAGCAUUUCGCUACACUCGCAUUAACAUCUGCUAACCAUGUGUAUGUGACAAAUAAAAUUUGAUUUGAUUUGAUUUGAACACAACAUAUAAUUAGUGAGCAUUUCUCCUUUGCCAAGAUAAUCCAUCCACCAGACAGGUGUGGCAUAUGGAGUAUUUCUGUCUGUAAUAAAGCAAUUUUUGGGGGGAAAAACUCAUUAUGGAUUGGCUGGGCAUGGCUCCCCAGUGGCUGGGCCUGGCUCCCCAGUGGGUGGGCCUAUGCCCCCCCAAGGCCCACCCAUGGCUUCACCCCUGCCCAGUUAAAUGAAAUCCAAAGAUUAGGGCCUUCAUUUCCAUUGACAAUAUUCCUUCCAUGAACUGUAACUCAGUAAAAUAUUUGAAAUGGUUGCGUUUAUAUGAUGAUGCGUUCACAUUUUAGUUCAGUGUACAGAGACAUAGAUAUAGGUAGAGUAGAUUCACAGGUUAUGAUGAAGACAGAGGGGGUAGAGUAGACUCACAGGUUAUGAUGAAGACAUAGAUAUAGGUAGAGUAGACUCACAGGUUAUGAUGAAGACAGAGGGGGUAGAGUAGACUCACAGGUUAUGAUGAAGACAGAGGGUGAGAGUAGACUCACAGGUUAUGAUGAAGACAGAGGGGGUAGAGUAGACUCACAGGUUAUGAUGAAGACAUAGAUAUAGGUAGAGUAGACUCACAGGUUAUGAUGAAGACAUAGAUAUAGGUAGAGUAGAUUCACAGGUUAUGAUGAAGACAGAGGGGGUAGAGUAGAUUCACAGGUUAUGAUGAAGACAGAGGGGGUAGAGUAGAUUCAUAGGUUAUGAUGAAGACAUAGGGGGUAGAGUAGAUUCACAGGUUAUGAUGAAGACGUGUAGAUUCACUGGUUAUGAUGAUGAAGAUGAGUAGAGCGUACAGAGACCGGUGGAAAGGUAUGGAUUGCAGUUUUGGGGUCACGAUUCGGUUUUGGUAUAGGGGGAAAAUGAACAGUUUGGCUUCGGCAGUUAACUUCUGUUAACGAAAUAAGAUACACGUUGGUACUUCUGAUUCCAUAUCCACCAUAACAGGCCUGAUGAGAGCACCAUCUUCUGAAAUGAAAACACCACGACUCAUCAACACUAGGAGAAAGUGACAUGUGCAAUCAAUAUGGAAACAUGGCUCAGACAUGGAAAAGACCUGUUUUCUUACGAAGACAAACAUAUGCGCACUUGUGUGACUCAAAGGGGGUGUGUCUAUGGCACUGUAGUUCUUUCCCAGUCCGGGGUCAUGUGAUGGGCUGUCACUUAACAGUCCGGGGUCAUGUGAUUGGCUGUCACUUAAUAGUCCGGGGUCAUGUGAUGGGCCGUCACUGUGAAGUAACUGUGUAACCCUGGAGAUCCAUCCAUCUGUAGGCAGCCCAACACAGGCUGGAUUGGCCAAUUCAUUGUCAACUUCAGCUUUAACUAGCUUAUAUAUGGGUAGCCUGUAUACUGAAAUGAGUGAGAGAGUGAAGAGCCUAAUGUGGCUAGAACACUUUCACAAAGUGCAGAAACGCUCUAACCCCG